This is a long non-coding RNA of Brassica napus (rape), 1800 nucleotides long. RefSeq lists it as uncharacterized. The transcript is spliced from 4 exons. The record is from RefSeq and is a predicted model, not a curated record. NCBI's taxonomy places the organism in Eukaryota, Viridiplantae, Streptophyta, Magnoliopsida, Brassicales, Brassicaceae.
AUAAACCCUUAGGGCGAUUCUCCUUAACGGUACCGUCGUCUGUCGUAUCUUACAACUCUCCUUCUGCCGAGAUUUUCUGAGCGAAACCCUAAUUUGCUUGCGACUAGUAUCACUUGCAGAGAUACAACUUACUUUCAGAUCCAGGAGAAUGAGGACUGGGGUGUUUUGGGAUUACGACAAUGUCCAUAUCCCAAAUGUACUCAAGAACAAUGGCAAGAUACAGUUUGUUCUUCCGCGGAUCUGUGAUUUUCUCACGAAUAAUCAUGGUUCUGGGAAGGUGACAUUCCAAAUAUUUGGAGCAAACACUAUUUCCCAGGAAGUCAGCACGCGGCUCAAAAUGAUGAAUGAACCGAAUGUUAGUAUUACAACAGUAGCCAAAGGUCAGGAUGCAUAUGAUUUGAGAAUCAUGAAUGCAUGCAAUAAUGAAAUGGGUCAAGGAACAUGAAGCCCCUGCCCGCAUAUUUUUGAUAGGGGGAGAUAGAGAUUAUGCCAAUCUUCUUCACCGUUUGAGAAUGGAGAACUAUAAUGUCUGUUUAGCAUCAAACAACGAUGCCAGUGUUUUCCCAUUACCACUCCGAUCCGCUGCCCACCAUAUUUGGAAGUUGGAUGACAUCGUGAUUAAAGAGGAAGACUAUGAGUAGUAUCAUGUCCUUUUGUCAUCGUAGACCGUCUUUGUACUUGAAAUCUAUUACAAGAGUGUAGGAGAUGGAUUACCACAACUCCAUAUGCCCCUUCCACUCUUAAAAAAUUCUCUUUUCUCCCCUUAUUAAAAUAUCAUUUAAUAUUUAUUUAUUUUAAAAAGAAAACGUGGGUCCAGGUAGUGUAAAGACUCUAAUACCUUUAACGAAUUAGAAUAUUUUCAAAUCCAACCUCUAAUUUAUCCAUUUUGCUUUUGUCUGCUCGUCUCGUAUUCUUUGGGUGUGAGGAGAAGACUAUAGCCGUAAUCAUGUGUGGGGAGAGCAGCAAACACAUGUUUUACAACAACGAAUCUUAAACCUAUAGGGACCACACUCACUCCACUCUGCGGCUGCUUCAAUUCCAUGAUCCUAUGCUCGCUAAUUCCCUCGGCAUCGGUUCACCACACUCGUACGAUCUCGAGCUUUUAAGAUUCAUGUUCUUGGUAAACGAGAUCGUUGCGUUGUAUUUGGAUAUAACAACGAAGAUGAGACGCUGCGUGUGUCGUGUGUGGGAUUGUGCUUCUCAACAUAUCUUGAUUCGAUUCUAUUCUGUUUUGUAGGCAUUCUAAAAUCGUUAACUUGGCGUACAUAUUUGUUCUUUGACGUUUUAUAUUUUUGCUGAAUGGAUUUUACAUUUCAUAACUAUUACCUAUUUGAUAAGGUGGUAUAGAAUUAAGAUCUGGGUUCUUUUGAAAAAGUUCAUUUUGGCUUACAAAUAUGUAGUGUUUAGACGGAUCCUCCAUCUAAAAGGCUGUUUGGACCAAGGUGUGGAGAAAGCUUGAAUUGGUUUUCCAAUAAAAAAAAAAAGGCCCCUAAUUUGUUCCUAAAAGCUGCUGAAAAAAUCUGAAUUUGUUUGAAAGCUCCCAAACAGUAUGGAAUCUGAUGAGUGACAAGUAGUGUCACAUAUCUGAAGUGGUCUUGAGUGACAAGUCUCAUCUUCAACGAUGUAUUUCACAUGGUGCAUAGAGACAUACGGGAACUUUUUCAUGGGUUUCUGUGCACUUCUUCAUAGUAUUGUAAUCAUGUUGGGGAAAUGUUUGUCUGAUGGUGUAAAUUAGUAUUGUAAUAACAAAAGUUCCAUAGAGAAAAUAAUUAAAAUUAAUUUUAAUUAUAUUUGCUAUUA